This 75-nucleotide transfer RNA is filed under the name Bacteroidetes bacterium GWA2_30_7. RNAcentral describes it as "tRNA-Met". It matches the Rfam family "tRNA". Rfam says of the family: Transfer RNA (tRNA) molecules are approximately 80 nucleotides in length. Their secondary structure includes four short double-helical elements and three loops (D, anti-codon, and T loops). Further hydrogen bonds mediate the characteristic L-shaped molecular structure. tRNAs have two regions of fundamental functional importance: the anti-codon, which is responsible for specific mRNA codon recognition, and the 3' end, to which the tRNAs corresponding amino acid is attached (by aminoacyl-tRNA synthetases). tRNAs cope with the degeneracy of the genetic code in two manners: having more than one tRNA (with a specific anti-codon) for a particular amino acid; and 'wobble' base-pairing, i.e. permitting non-standard base-pairing at the 3rd anti-codon position. The record is from RNAcentral. Lineage: Bacteria; Pseudomonadati; Bacteroidota. RNAcentral also lists the same sequence under 1 other name.
UGCGGGGUGGAGCAGUGGUAGCUCGUUGGGCUCAUAACCCAAAGGUCGUAGGUUCGAAUCCUGCCCCCGCUACAA